Non-coding RNA from Cordylochernes scorpioides, 78 nucleotides. The record is from the annotation of a GenBank genome assembly. Lineage: Eukaryota; Metazoa; Arthropoda; Arachnida; Pseudoscorpiones; Chernetidae.
GACCCCUUGGGUGGAAGGAUGGGUCUAAACCGUUGGUUUUCGACCACUACGACCCGGGUUCGAUUCCCACAUGGGUCA